GGAGAUGUGGCCGAGUGGCUGAAGGCGCACGCUUGGAAAGCGUGUUAGGGUGCAAACUCUACGUGGGUUCGAAUCCCACCGUCUCCGCCA
RNAcentral lists this transfer RNA (90 nucleotides) under Alphaproteobacteria bacterium CG_4_9_14_3_um_filter_47_13. RNAcentral's name for it is "tRNA-Ser". It matches the Rfam family "tRNA". Rfam says of the family: Transfer RNA (tRNA) molecules are approximately 80 nucleotides in length. Their secondary structure includes four short double-helical elements and three loops (D, anti-codon, and T loops). Lineage: Bacteria; Pseudomonadati; Pseudomonadota; Alphaproteobacteria. The record is from RNAcentral.